CCGGCGAGGGGAGUGAAAAAGAACCUGAAACCGUGUACGUACAAGCAGUGGGAGCCCCACCACUAAGCCAGUGGUGAACUCCACAUACGCAUCCUUUGCUGAGGAUACGGUUAACGGAGCGAAAGCGACGUUCAACCGCAAAAGAAGCAGAGGGGGCUUAGUGGUGGGGUGACUGCGUACCUUUUGUAUAAUGGGUCAGCGACUUAUAUUCUGUAGCAAGGUU
This 223-nucleotide ribosomal RNA is filed under the name Salmonella enterica subsp. enterica serovar Heidelberg. Its description in RNAcentral is "partial 23S ribosomal RNA". It matches the Rfam family "Bacterial large subunit ribosomal RNA", at positions 526 to 647 of the family's 2925-position model. Lineage: Bacteria; Pseudomonadati; Pseudomonadota; Gammaproteobacteria; Enterobacterales; Enterobacteriaceae. RNAcentral also lists the same sequence under 4 other names. The record is from RNAcentral.